UCGUGGGGUGACUUGUCUGCUUAAUUGCGAUAACGAGCGAGACCUUACUCUGCUAAAUAGCCAGGCUAGCUUUGGCUGGUCGCCGGCUUCUUAGAGAGACUAUCGGCUCAAGCCGAUGGAAGUUUGAGGCAAUAACA
RNAcentral lists this ribosomal RNA (137 nucleotides) under uncultured eukaryote. Its description in RNAcentral is "partial 18S ribosomal RNA". It matches the Rfam family "Eukaryotic small subunit ribosomal RNA", at positions 1299 to 1458 of the family's 1831-position model. The record is from RNAcentral.